RNAcentral lists this long non-coding RNA (1774 nucleotides) under Triticum aestivum (bread wheat). RNAcentral describes it as "long non-coding RNA (TAES_LNC025741)". Lineage: Eukaryota; Viridiplantae; Streptophyta; Magnoliopsida; Poales; Poaceae. The record is from RNAcentral.
GUGUGUGUUCAUGCUCCGCUGACCACCCGGCCGCACCCCUGUACGUGGAGGAUCCUUUUGGUCUUCAGUUUGGAAAAACUGAACUUCUGAAGCAACCGUAUUGGGAAAACACACCCACCAUCUUCGUAUUGACCAAAUCCAACAUCAACAAAAUUAAGGAGACUACAAAGAUAUUAAUGUGAACCAGUGUGCAUUAUAUAGGAAUCUCCUUGUAGUACUUCUCUUCCGAUACAUGUACAAAACUCAUGUUUUCCUGUAGUACUGACCUUGCUAUACAUGUACAAAAUUGAUGCAGGGAAGAACAUCAUAUGGAGGACGGGCUCCAUUCAGCCAAUUUUUCAAAAAAAAACAUAUGUAUACAGAGAAGUUUCGAUGUCGCUGCAUAGUGGAAAUCUAGAAAAAACAGGAUGAGGAAGGACGCAGCCAAGUCUGAUGUGUUCUCCUGUUGAUGAAGUAAUUCAAGGAGCAGGUGGUUUCAUUCGUAUGAAGAACCAACAAUAAAAUCUUCAUCCCCAUGUUUGCUUCUUGUUUUAUUUCAAGCUGGCACUAACCAUUGGCAUUUUUUGUCUGAUGCUCCACGUCUUGUAAGUGUCCACUAAAAAACAGAAUUUUAUGCAAUACCAGCAAACAGUAAGUGUGAACUUCUCCGUUUACAUUCAUCUAAAGAAUUACGUAUUUUUUUAAAGUAAUCUGGAAGUCAAAAGAUUAUAGUCUAGAGAGUUCAAUCAUUGGAUUUUGGGAAGAAUUCAUCUUACUGAUAAAUAAUGAAUAGAGAAAAAAAAUACAAAAUAGGUUUUGGGUCAGUGCUAAAUAGGUUAGGAAUUGUUUGGCGUUGGUGUAGUGUUGGAGCAUUACUACUACUUGGUUCACUUCCAUUUAAAGGGUCUUGCUUGAAGAUAUCUUUGAAGCCAUAAACACAGUUGUCUUGAUUUCAAAUAGGGGUCAUGGGUUGAGCUAUUAAGCUGAACUUGUUGUUACGCCUCUGAACAUCUACCUCUUUCCUGUAGGUGUUGAUCCUGGUGCUUGUCGCCAUUCAUGAGGAAAGAUAGUCGGUCUUUGAACGGGUGAGUGAUCUUGCUGUUGCUGGGAUGCUAUUCAACAUGGGGAUUUGAUCUCCCUUGAGGUGCAGUGUAGCGAGAUAUAUGCCGCUGCCACUUGUGGAUUUAUUGUUGAGAUGGUCGCUCAACCUCAAUAUUGAUUAGUCCUUCCCCUAGAUUUUGCCCAACAUGCUCUGUAGGUCAUCAGUAAGAACAAAAAGUAUGCCUCUAAGCUGUCUGUGUUUAUUCUACAAAGUAAAUUAGUAUGGCUGCACACGGUUGACUGUUCUUGACCAGUUUUUGUAGUAAUUUGUAUGGCUGACAAAUUUCAGCAGUAAUUAACAUGGCUUCAGUCCACCGUGUCUGAUUUUCAGCAGGCCAACCUGAUUAAUGCUAGUGCAACUCAUCUUCAAAAGUACAUGGAUGCAGUGUGAAAUUUGUUCCUGCUGUUGUUGUUUAGAUAGAUCACACUAGAACAUUUUGUACGAACCACUUACUCAAGUGAGAGAGAUAGGCUUCUUCAUAGUUCAUCUAUUUCCCGGCAAAAGCAGAAAGUGUAACGCCAUUUGUUCCCUGUGUGAAUAAAUUUGUGUUCCUAUGUGAAGUAAUGUUUUGUUCCUGGACUAAGAACAUUCUGUCCUAGUGUGGAUAAUAUUUUAUUCAUCUGUGAAUUACCUUUAUUAAAAAACCAUAUUGAUUGAGAACUAAAAAGGACAUGCUUUUUUAGUAUUCUAGAA